CAUUGGCAGCCCGGCGAUGGCGGGGCGGGCCGAGAGCGCCGAUUGGCCGCGCCGGGCGGGGCCAGGCCCCUCCUACCUGUCUUGUCCACGCCCUUCGGCCCUGUUCCGCUCGCGGCCGUGACCCCGCGGGCUUUUACUUUGGGUCCUGCGCAUCCCGCUCGCCUUUUUUGGGAGGGUCCCUGUGCAACGGGAUCCCCUGGGGAGGGCUGAGGCUGAGGAAACUGAGGAACGGUGCCCCUCCCCGCCGGGAGUGCCCCUCUCACCCCUCUCCAUGACGCGGUCUGAGCGGGGGAGGCUGUGUAUCAGGGUGCUGACCCCACCCUGCGCCUGCCGGGGUCCGGAAUCUCAUGGGGUUGUGGAAAGAACAGAGGUCAGGAAAUCACACAGGCAGUGCUGUGAGAUCCACUUUUUUGUAGGUGAUAAGUGGCUCAGAGGGAAGCGGAGCAUCUACUCUGCAUGCUUGUUGCAUCCCUGUGCUGGAACAAGACAUUCCCAGCAACUGCCAAGGUGUGGCAAGGAAGUGUCCUAGCCUUGCCAUCCAGAGCUGCAGCAGCAAGAAUUACAAAUGGUGACUUGUUCUGAAAACUGAACUUACUUCUCAGAAGAUUUUUCAGGGAUGGUAUGCUGAAACCAGCAGGUACUUUUUUACAGCAUGAGACCAUCUGUGAAGGUAAACAGUCUGCCUCUUGCCAUCCUUCAAUAAACCAUAUGGUGGUUAAAAAAACAGACUAGCACUGACUUCCAAGCUCAUGUACUGCAGACAAGCCUCACAUAUUUGCUCAUGUAUUUGCUAUAGUGUAAAACUGGAUUAAACAGUCCCUGGGUGUAGUGUUGAAAACACAAGGUGACAUAUGUCCAGUCUGGAGCACAGUAGGAAAACUGUCUUCUGGUCUUCUAGCAAAGAUAGAAGAGGUUUUAAAAGGCAUGGAAGAGAAAGGAAGAGAAGGCUAAGGUGAUCUUUUUUACAUAGAAUUUGGGAGUGAGGGGAAAAAUAAAGGGAGAGGCACCAAGCACUGAAAUCCUUGAAGGAAUGGAAACUUGGUUAUAGUGUGAAACAACAUUCUACUGCCAAUUACAGGUUUUCCAUAGGCACUUGUAAGUUAUGAGGGAGACCAGAAUUUGAAAGCCGUGAAACAUGUUUAAAGUUUCCCACUGAUGAUAGCAGAUCAAAAAUAUAAUCUGACUGGCCAUGAUAAAUUGUGCACAGUGAGAACUGAUCUCUUUCCUUAAAUCCAUAAGAGGGAGUCUGUGAGCAAAAAAUCCUUCAGCAGCACUAUAAGGCACUAGAUCUUAUAGCUGACCAGAGUGUGUACAGGGAACCACUGCGCUGUCUGAGCCAGUUCCUGGACAAGGAUGCUGUCUGCUCUCAUCAGUGUGAAAAACAUUCUCUUGCUCUAGUUGCACACUGUCUGUAAGCAAGGCAGAAGAAUGAAGUCUGAAGUGCAAUGACUAUUUUCGAGGAGCAUAUAAGAUAACUGAUACUCAAUUGUUAUAAAUGGGAUAACUUGGAUAAUUUGGAGGUGCAGAGUCUUGAUAGGGCACUCACUAAUCAUAUCAGUAACACUUUAUCAGGUUGGGAUUGCCUGGUAACCAGAUUGGAACCACAUAAUUUGCAUAUGGAUGUUGCCAAACUGAGACCAAUGGACAAAAAGUAAUUCCGAGUGGAUUGUUUCUUUGGAAGGAGUUUGAGAAAAAAAAGGACAACAAGAUGUCUACAAAAAGCUAUUCAGAAGUAGAAAAAAUCAGUGAAUGAAAUCGGGUACAAAGAAGAUAUGAGAUCUUCCGACAGUAGGAGUGCCUAUGGAUUGUGAUGAAGCUGACAGCAGAUCGAAGCCCACCAGGAAGCUGGAGGGAAACCUGUUGGUCAACCCAGUAGAAUCUCCCUCGGAGAACAGAGGGCUCGUUGGCUAUGUGCUUGUAUGUCUCUAUUAGUGAGAUGAAUACCAAGUUUCCUUGUAGCUUUUGGUCAAGAUGCUUAUCUUUUGGAGUAUAUAGGAGGAACCAUGCCUACAUGCUGUGGCACACCACUGCUCUACGUGUGUGAGAAGAGAACAUCAAAUAAGUAAUUGCAUGGACUGAGGAGUGUUUUUUACUUUGAGGAGGCAGCAUGUUUGACUUGAACUAGAUGUUCUUCUGUUGAUACUGUAUUUCUGAUUUUAAAGUGUCUGGCUCUUGCAUUGUGAUUACAGUACUUUUCAAAGAGCAGCUUUUUAAUAAAAAAUUUUUAAUAUUCAAUUUUUACGUUGAGAAUGGAAAUUAUGUUCUUGCUGCUCCCAGGACCAAACAUGGUGCUGACUGCGUUUUCAAGCAAGAAUUUCUAUGGUUUUCAGUGCUUGAAAAUAUUCAUGGUAGUAUUAAAUGAUGGGCUAAUCCUGCAAGUCAACAACAGGUCUCUGAGGUGGCUUGACACAACUUCUCAGCUCAUUUGACUUAAUGUUUUUACAUUUUCCUGUAGAAACUGAUGUACAUUACAGGACACCGUGACCAUUUUGUAUUGGAAAAUGGAACCUCAAAGGUCAACCCAUGAGUGUGAUUGUCAGGUUUAACAAUCACAGCUACUCUACCCUUCUGUAACCUUCCCUGGAGUACUGUAUCCAGGUCUGAGAUCCUCAGCACAAGAAGGAUGUGGCCCUGUUGAAGGAGUCCAGAGGAGGCCACAAAGUUGUUCUGAGGACUGGAACAACUCUGCUCUGAAGACAGGCUGAGAGAGCUGGGGUGUUCAGCCUGGAGAAGAGAGGGCUCUGGAGAGACCACAUUGCAGC
Chiroxiphia lanceolata (lance-tailed manakin) is the source of this 2762-nucleotide long non-coding RNA. RefSeq lists it as uncharacterized. The record is from RefSeq and is a predicted model, not a curated record. NCBI's taxonomy places the organism in Eukaryota, Metazoa, Chordata, Aves, Passeriformes, Pipridae. The transcript is spliced from 5 exons.